RNAcentral lists this ribosomal RNA (684 nucleotides) under Dichostereum orientale. RNAcentral describes it as "eukaryotic LSU rRNA". The stretch from base 89 to 684 matches the Rfam family "Eukaryotic large subunit ribosomal RNA", at positions 1 to 606 of the family's 3401-position model. The record is from RNAcentral. Lineage: Eukaryota; Fungi; Basidiomycota; Agaricomycetes; Russulales; Lachnocladiaceae.
GUGUGAUAGAUAUCUACGCCACGGCUCUGCACGGAAUAGUGCUUUGCUUCAAACCGUCCCCUCUGUGGGACAAACUUCAUUGAACACUUGACCUCAAAUCAGGCGGGACUACCCGCUGAACUUAAGCAUAUCAAUAAGCGGAGGAAAAGAAACUAACAAGGAUUCCCCUAGUAACUGCGAGUGAAGCGGGAAGAGCUCAAAUUUAAAAUCUGGCGGCUUCGUCGUCCGAGUUGUAAUUUAGAGAAGUGUUUUCCGCGCUGGACCGUGUACAAGUCUCCUGGAACGGAGCGUCAUAGAGGGUGAGAAUCCCGUCUUUGACACGGACCCCCAGUGCUCUGUGAUACGCUCUCGAAGAGUCGAGUUGUUUGGGAAUGCAGCUCAAAAUGGGUGGUGAACUCCAUCUAAAGCUAAAUAUUGGCGAGAGACCGAUAGCGAACAAGUACCGUGAGGGAAAGAUGAAAAGCACUUUGGAAAGAGAGUGAAACAGUACGUGAAAUUGCUGAAAGGGAAACGCUUGAAGUCAGUCGCGUCCGCCGGAAUUCAGCCCUCGUGGUGUACUUUCCGACGGACGGGCCAGCAUCACUUUUGACCGCCGGAAAAGGGCGGAGGGAAUGUGGCACCUCCGGGUGUGUUAUAGCCCUCCGUCGUAUACGGUGAUUGGGAGUGAGGACCGCCUAUCUUGUA